Molecule: ribosomal RNA, 206 nt
Filed under: uncultured bacterium
Lineage: Bacteria
Description: partial 16S ribosomal RNA
Rfam family: Bacterial small subunit ribosomal RNA
Source: RNAcentral
AGUGUAGGUGGCUCAUUAAGUCACAUGUGAAAUCCCCGGGCUUAACCUGGGAACUGCAUGUGAUACUGGUGGUGCUAGAAUAUGUGAGAGGGAAGUAGAAUUCCAGGUGUAGCGGUGAAAUGCGUAGAGAUCUGGAGGAAUACCGAUGGCGAAGGCAGCUUCCUGGCAUAAUAUUGACACUGAGAUUCCAAGCGUAGUAGCAAACA